RNAcentral lists this transfer RNA (69 nucleotides) under Psolodesmus mandarinus. RNAcentral's name for it is "tRNA-Pro". The record is from RNAcentral. Lineage: Eukaryota; Metazoa; Arthropoda; Insecta; Odonata; Calopterygidae.
CAGAGGGUAGUUUAAUUAAAAUUUUAAUUUUGGGGAUUAGGUAUGGAGUGUUAAGUUCUCCCCUUCUGA